CUGGUUGAUCCUGCCGGACCUGAUUGCUAUCGGAUUGGUACUAAGCCAUGCGAGUAAGUGUAGCAAUACACUGCAGACGGCUCAGUAACACGUGGUCAAGCUAACCUAUGGACGUGGAUAACCUCGGGAAACUGAGAAUAAACCGCGAUAGAUCGUGAUGCCUGGAAUGGCUUAUGGUCGAGAUAGUUUACUGCCGUAGGAUGCGACUGCGGCCUAUCAGUUUGUUGGUGAGGUAAUGGCCCACCAAGACUAUUACAGGUACGGGCUCUGAGAGGAGAAGCCCGGAGAUGGGUACUGAGACACGGACCCAGGCCCUAUGGGGCGCAGCAGGCGAGAAACCUUAGCAAUGUGCGAAAGCACGACUGGGUUAGUCCGAGUGAUUCCUGCUAAAGGAAUCUUUUACCGGUCCUAAAAGCACCGGCGAAUAAGGGGUGGGCAAGUCUGGUGUCAGCCGCCGCGGUAAUACCAGCACCUCGAGUGAUCAGGACGUUUAUUGGGCCUAAAGCAUCCGUAGCUGGCUUUGCAAGUCUCCGGUUAAAUCAACCUGCUCAACAGAUUGGCCGCUGGAGAUACUACAAGGCUAGGGAGUGGGAGAGGCAGACGGUAUUCGGGGGGUAGGGGUAAAAUCCUCUGAUCCUCUGAGGACCACCAGUGGCGAAGGCGGUCUGCCAGAACACGUUCGACAGUGAGGGAUGAAAGCUGGGGGAGCAAACCGGAUUAGAUACCCGGGUAGUCCCAGCUGUAAACGAUGCAAACUCGGUGAAGCAUUGGCUUAAUGCUAAUGCUGUGCCGCAGGGAAGCCGUUAAGUUUGCCGCCUGGGAAGUACGGUCGCAAGAUUGAAACUUAAAGGAAUUGGCGGGGGAGCACCACAAGGGGUGAAGCCUGCGGUUCAAUUGGAUUCAACGCCGGG
RNAcentral lists this ribosomal RNA (911 nucleotides) under uncultured archaeon. RNAcentral describes it as "bacterial SSU rRNA". It matches the Rfam family "Archaeal small subunit ribosomal RNA", at positions 4 to 922 of the family's 1478-position model. The record is from RNAcentral.